ACGAACGCUGGCGGCGUGCUUAACACAUGCAAGUCGAACGAAGAGCGACGGAAGCUUGCUUCUAUCAAUCUUCGUGGCGAACGGGUGAGUAACGCGUAAUCAACCUGCCCUUCAGAGGGGGACAACAGUUGGAAACGACUGCUAAUACCGCAUACGAUCUAACCUCGGCAUCGAGGAUAGAUGAAAGGUGGCCUCUACAUGUAAGCUAUCACUGAAGGAGGGGAUUGCGUCUGAUUAGCUAGUUGGAGGGGUAACGGCCCACCAAGGCGAUGAUCAGUAGCCGGUCUGAGAGGAUGAACGGCCACAUUGGGACUGAGACACGGCCCAGACUCCUACGGGAGGCAGCAGUGGGGAAUCUUCCGCAAUGGACGAAAGUCUGACGGAGCAACGCCGCGUGAGUGAUGACGGCCUUCGGGUUGUAAAGCUCUGUUAAUCGGGACGAAAGGCCUUCUUGCGAAUAGUGAGAAGGAUUGACGGUACCGGAAUAGAAAGCCACGGCUAACUACGUG
Molecule: ribosomal RNA, 509 nt
Filed under: uncultured bacterium
Lineage: Bacteria
Description: partial 16S ribosomal RNA
Rfam family: Bacterial small subunit ribosomal RNA
Source: RNAcentral